Rattus norvegicus (Norway rat) is the source of this 1450-nucleotide long non-coding RNA. RefSeq lists it as uncharacterized. The record is from RefSeq and is a predicted model, not a curated record. Lineage: Eukaryota; Metazoa; Chordata; Mammalia; Rodentia; Muridae.
GGAGGAGACUAAAGGGGAGAGGAGGAGAGGGGCUGAGAAGCCGUGGCAGGACAAGAUGGCAGGUGAUGUUAAGAUUCUGCUCUGUGUAUUUACAGCCCUCUGAUGUUUUCUGCACAUGGUGUUGCUGUUCCGCUGAGAUGAAGCUACAACAGCUGUGGUUCCCAGCACAAGAUCAAAACAUCCAAAACUCCUGCAUAGAUCAGGACGAGCUAAGUGAUAUUUCACCCUCUCUUUAAGACAAGCUUAAUCCACUCUAGUUAUUAUAAUUGUCUAUUUCAUGGUGUACAAGUCUUCAAUAGGUAGCAAAGGGAUUUCCUAUCAGAGGAAAUUCUGUCAAAUAAAAUGAAUUCCUUGUAAACUAAAUUUUAACGAAAAGGUUACAUAUUUCUUUAGUGCUUUUUUUUUUAAUUGCAUGGAAAAGUAUCCUUCUAGUCCAUUCAUUACAAAGUACAAUGACUGAAGCAAUUGUUUCCGUCACAGGGGUAGUGACCAGAGCCCUUCUCAAUACUAAUGUACAUUAUACCUGUACACCAUGAAGUCACAAUGUACAAGUCAAUCUUGACUCCACUUUGAUGUAUUUCCUUCAAAACUUCUUAGUUAUUUCUCUCGAAAUACUGGGAUAUAUUUUGGAGCUCUAUUACUUCUCAUUUUAGCAUAAUUUGUUCCUAUUUAAUCUCUCCUAUAAGGAUGAUGAACAUCUGAAAGUGAUUAGAUGGAACAGAGUAGGGGAACGAGGCACAGAGAACCAUUUCACAUCGUCUGAUGCCCACUGAUUGAGCAAGUUUUCCUGUUUCCUUGGCUAUGCUUUCUGUGAGUUUGCUUUUCUGUACAUGCAGUCCUGUAACUAGGCAGAACACUGGCAACUAUGGCAACACUGCCCUUCUCAAAGAAAAAGAACAGAAUUCAGUAACCCCUGGAUCCUGUGACAUAGCCCAGUCCUGCAGUGAGAAGUGACUGUGUCCUUUACUGUCUGUUGUAAUCUCCAUGGUCUGUUUCUUCCAAUAUCCACCUCACAAUGAUUUCACCAAAUGGAAAAGUGUAGAAGCUAUUUAGAGAGGUCCACCAAAUGAGAAAUUCUGUGAACUCAGACAAAUGCCAGAAUCAGAUGGCUUCCUUAUUAGGAGACUGGCAUUGGAAAUUUCCCCAUGUAUGAACAGGACCUAUCCUCCAAGAGCUGGCAAAAUGUGUGGACACCCAUCAUCCUAAGGCUGAAACCCUGGACAGACAAAAUCCCUGUCAAACAAUAACCCAUGUCACUGGAAGUAAAGGCUGGCAUCACUGAACAUAUUGCCCAUCUGAUGGAGACUGGGAUCUUGGUACCUUUCCAAUUUCCCUGGAACACCCCCUGUUGCCAGUUUCCAAGCCUGGCACCAAUGACUAUUGCCCAGCACAGGAUCUCUGAGAAAUAAACAAAAGAAGUGAGGAUAUCCAUCCCACAUUUUCAAACUCA